RNAcentral lists this ribosomal RNA (824 nucleotides) under Plesioschendyla confossa. Its description in RNAcentral is "eukaryotic LSU rRNA". The stretch from base 691 to 824 matches the Rfam family "Eukaryotic large subunit ribosomal RNA", at positions 813 to 946 of the family's 3401-position model. The record is from RNAcentral. Lineage: Eukaryota; Metazoa; Arthropoda; Chilopoda; Geophilomorpha; Schendylidae.
CCAAGGCGUCUAACAUGUGUGCGAGUCGUAGGUCUGCAAAAUGCAGCUAAACCCGAGAACGGCGUAAUUAAAGUGAAGGCUCUUUCAUCCUUCCCGGCCUUUUUGCACGCUCGGGCCUCUCCGUUUACGGACUGUUGCUCGGGAGGUGUCUGAACGGUCGGGUUAGCGUUGGGAGCUCAGGCGGGAUCCUUUCCCGAUUUUCUCGACGGCCCAUUCGUGGGCGCGGUCGCAGAAGAGAGGAGAUUAACUGGGUAACUGGCAACGAAACACACACAAAAAAAGGGAUUCGGCGGACGUUCCCCCUCCCCAAUUCAAGGGCCUUCCUAUGUUUUCAGCUUUUCCCGAUUUUGGGUAGGCGAAUCGAAAGGARUAAGCGGCCUGGGGGUGCAAAAAAUGGUAGAACGGUUAAACGCGUCCGAAAAGCCUUAACAAAUCCGACCUCCCAGAGGCGCACCGCUGGCCCGUUUCAACCGCCCUCGGUUAAUUUCGCCGCCCGCGCUACAAAGGUUUUGCCUCGCGCGCCGCGCUUCUUUUCGUCCUCGGAUUCCGUCCGUAUUCGUUUCGUAACAGAUUCGAUGCGUCCGCGUCUGUCGAGCGUCGAGAGAGUGCGUGCUUCGCGGGUGUGUGCCCAGUGGGUUUUUGAAAGGCGGUCCGAAAGUCGGUGAGGCGGAGCAAGAGCACACACGUUGGGACCCGAAAGAUGGUGAACUAUGCCCGGGCAGGACGAAGCCAGAGGAAACUCUGGUGGAGGUCCGCAGCGAUUCUGACGUGCAAAUCGAUCGUCGGACCUGGGUAUAGGGGGGAAAGACUAAUCGAACCAUCUA